GGAAGAGGUUUGUCCUUUCAGAGGUCCCUAUCACUGAUACUUUCCUAUAAGAAGGUCUUAGAAAUUGAGCUUUCUUAAGUGGUAUCCACUGAUACCAGUUGGAUUAAUGAUAUUUUUGGGGCAGUUUUAACAGCAACAGCAGAAGUCACAGACACCUGAGUAUACAGUAUUUCUCACAGGAAAUGGGUGGACAAGCAACUGAACUGUCAGCUUGAAUCUGAGAAUGAAAAUAGACAUAACUGGACGUCUUCACAUCUUGUAUAGCCCCCUGGGAGAGGCGAUAUUUCCGGGCUGCUAAUGUCACAGCGUGACCUGUUAAUAACCUGCGAGCCUUCCUGCGCUCCGCUGCCUCCCGCUCCCCCAGGAGCCGGCAGCUGCCGUCACACGGAUCGAAUGCCUGCCUUCCCCGCGCUUCAUUGAGAAAAAUUCAAGCAUGUGGCCUGAGGUUCCCCUGAUGACUGUCUGGGGAUGAUGAUUUCUACCAUCUGUUCUGGCUGCCUGUGGCUCCCGGAAACACCGAGGUGUAUGUUGCUUCUGGCCAUACGUGGGAUUCCUAAUGAAACCUCAGCUGCUGCCCAACUGUCUGUGGAUAUCAGAUGGGUUUGAAUUAUCUUCCGCCAAGAGGGGAGGGAGAAGCACUUUGUUUAACUCUUUAAUCUGAACCACUAGACAGCACAUGCAUAAUCACAGGCUACAAAGCCGCUGAAUUAUUAGCAUCUGCAUCGCGGUGGCAGCUGUAGCUUUUGCACGUGUGCUGGGUCUGCCUCAUUCAAGAUACCCGGGCUGGUUGUUUCCAGGCUAAAUAUAAAGCCUCGCGUGAAAUUCAUCUUACUUUAGCUCACUUGGAAGUCUUGUAAUUAUACCAGAGAUUUAUUUGAUCCCUUCACUUCUGAUUUGUGUUAAAGGCACAUUUCAGAUAUAUAAAUUGUAUAUCAGUAUAAGAAAAAGGCUGCUUAUCAACGGUUUUAAAUGCAGCUGAGGAAUUACAGCAUUUCCAAAGUUAUUUAUUGAGACAGAGGAAGUCAGGGCAAAUUGAUAUUGAUUUUGAUAUAUGGAUGAGACUUUUGUGCAAAAUAACCUUGAUAAUGAAUAAAUACACAUGACUUCUCUUUCAGGAUUUGACAUUCUGUCUGUUAUUUUCCUUGUAACCUAUCAUUUAGAAACCUUUUCUCGAUGUUUGCCGAAAAUCAGAUUUUAGUGGAUGUUGAGGGUCACUAUAUCA
Sturnus vulgaris (Common starling) is the source of this 1222-nucleotide non-coding RNA. NCBI's taxonomy places the organism in Eukaryota, Metazoa, Chordata, Aves, Passeriformes, Sturnidae. The record is from RefSeq and is a predicted model, not a curated record.